GAUGAAGAACGUAGCGAAAUGCGAUAAGUAAUGCGAAUUGCAGAAUUCAGUGAGUCAUCGAAUCUUUGAACGCACAUUGCGCCCUGUGGUAUUCCGCAGGGCAUGCCUGUUCGAGCGUCAUUUCAACCCUCAAGCCCCGCUUGGUGUUGGGCCCCGCCCGCCGUGGCCGGCCCUAAAGACAGUGGCGGCGCCGCCUGGCCCUCAGCGUAGUACAGCUCUCGCUCCAGGGUCCGGCGGCCGCCUGCCAGAACCCCCCAAACUCUGUGGUUGACCUCGGAUCAGGUAGGGAUACCCGCUGAACUUAAGCAUAUCAAUAAGCGGAGGA
RNAcentral lists this unclassified non-coding RNA (325 nucleotides) under soil metagenome. RNAcentral's name for it is "partial contains 5.8S ribosomal RNA, internal transcribed spacer 2, and large subunit ribosomal RNA". The stretch from base 1 to 120 matches the Rfam family "5.8S ribosomal RNA", at positions 35 to 154 of the family's 154-position model. The record is from RNAcentral.